RNAcentral lists this ribosomal RNA (423 nucleotides) under uncultured bacterium. RNAcentral's name for it is "bacterial SSU rRNA". It matches the Rfam family "Bacterial small subunit ribosomal RNA", at positions 495 to 916 of the family's 1533-position model. The record is from RNAcentral.
GGCUAACUACGUGCCAGCAGCCGCGGUAAUACGUAGGGUGCAAGCGUUGUCCGGAAUUACUGGGCGUAAAGAGUUCGUAGGCGGUUUGUCGCGUCGUUUGUGAAAACCAGCAGCUCAACUGCUGGCUUGCAGGCGAUACGGGCAGACUUGAGUACUGCAGGGGAGACUGGAAUUCCUGGUGUAGCGGUGAAAUGCGCAGAUAUCAGGAGGAACACCGGUGGCGAAGGCGGGUCUCUGGGCAGUAACUGACGCUGAGGAACGAAAGCGUGGGUAGCGAACAGGAUUAGAUACCCUGGUAGUCCACGCCGUAAACGGUGGGCGCUAGGUGUGGGUUCCUUCCACGGAAUCCGUGCCGUAGCUAACGCAUUAAGCGCCCCGCCUGGGGAGUACGGCCGCAAGGCUAAAACUCAAAUGAAUUGACGG